Molecule: ribosomal RNA, 1440 nt
Filed under: uncultured organism
Description: SSU rRNA
Rfam family: Bacterial small subunit ribosomal RNA
Source: RNAcentral
CAGGAUGAACGCUAGCUACAGGCUUAACACAUGCAAGUCGAGGGGCAUCAGGAAGAAAGCUUGCUUUCUUUGCUGGCGACCGGCGCACGGGUGAGUAACACGUAUCCAACCUGCCCUUUACUCGGGGAUAGCCUUUCGAAAGAAAGAUUAAUACCCGAUAGCAUAAUGAUUCCGCAUGGUUUCAUUAUUAAAGGAUUCCGGUAAAGGAUGGGGAUGCGUUCCAUUAGGUUGUUGGUGAGGUAACGGCUCACCAAGCCUUCGAUGGAUAGGGGUUCUGAGAGGAAGGUCCCCCACAUUGGAACUGAGACACGGUCCAAACUCCUACGGGAGGCAGCAGUGAGGAAUAUUGGUCAAUGGGCGCUAGCCUGAACCAGCCAAGUAGCGUGAAGGAUGAAGGCUCUAUGGGUCGUAAACUUCUUUUAUAUAAGAAUAAAGUGCAGUAUGUAUACUGUUUUGUAUGUAUUAUAUGAAUAAGGAUCGGCUAACUCCGUGCCAGCAGCCGCGGUAAUACGGAGGAUCCGAGCGUUAUCCGGAUUUAUUGGGUUUAAAGGGAGCGUAGGUGGACUGGUAAGUCAGUUGUGAAAGUUUGCGGCUCAACCGUAAAAUUGCAGUUGAUACUGUCAGUCUUGAGUACAGUAGAGGUGGGCGGAAUUCGUGGUGUAGCGGUGAAAUGCUUAGAUAUCACGAAGAACUCCGAUUGCGAAGGCAGCUCACUGGACUGCAACUGACACUGAUGCUCGAAAGUGUGGGUAUCAAACAGGAUUAGAUACCCUGGUAGUCCACACAGUAAACGAUGAAUACUCGCUGUUUGCGAUAUACAGUAAGCGGCCAAGCGAAAGCAUUAAGUAUUCCACCUGGGGAGUACGCCGGCAACGGUGAAACUCAAAGGAAUUGACGGGGGCCCGCACAAGCGGAGGAACAUGUGGUUUAAUUCGAUGAUACGCGAGGAACCUUACCCGGGCUUAAAUUGCAGUGGAAUGAUGUGGAAACAUGUCAGUGAGCAAUCACCGCUGUGAAGGUGCUGCAUGGUUGUCGUCAGCUCGUGCCGUGAGGUGUCGGCUUAAGUGCCAUAACGAGCGCAACCCUUAUCUUUAGUUACUAACAGGUUAUGCUGAGGACUCUGGAGAGACUGCCGUCGUAAGAUGUGAGGAAGGUGGGGAUGACGUCAAAUCAGCACGGCCCUUACGUCCGGGGCUACACACGUGUUACAAUGGGGGGUACAGAAGGCAGCUAGCGGGUGACCGUAUGCUAAUCCCAAAAGCCUCUCUCAGUUCGGAUCGAAGUCUGCAACCCGACUUCGUGAAGCUGGAUUCGCUAGUAAUCGCGCAUCAGCCACGGCGCGGUGAAUACGUUCCCGGGCCUUGUACACACCGCCCGUCAAGCCAUGGGAGCCGGGGGUACCUGAAGUACGUAACCGCAAGGAUCGUCCUAGGGUAAAAC